Molecule: RNase P RNA, 317 nt
Filed under: Haloferacaceae archaeon
Lineage: Archaea; Methanobacteriati; Methanobacteriota; Halobacteria; Halobacteriales; Haloferacaceae
Also listed under: 1 other name
Description: RNase P RNA component
Rfam family: Archaeal RNase P
About the family: Ribonuclease P (RNase P) is a ubiquitous endoribonuclease, found in archaea, bacteria and eukarya as well as chloroplasts and mitochondria. Its best characterised activity is the generation of mature 5'-ends of tRNAs by cleaving the 5'-leader elements of precursor-tRNAs.
Source: RNAcentral
GGCAGAGAGAGCUCGGCUCCCGUGGUCACUGACCAACGAGGAAAGUCCCCCCACCGUCCGGACAGGUGACCGGGCGCAAGCCCGGAGUCGGAGACGGCUGGCUCUGGAACAGAAACGAGACCCCUCGACCUGACCGAUGAGAUGCGCGGAGGCCCCCGCGAGGGGGCUGCGUUCACCCAUCGAGGGCCGACGGUCGAGAAUGGAUGGAACGGCGAACCCUCACCGGUGCAAGUCCGCAUCGCCAAGGUAGUCCGGACAGGAUGCGGACGCUCAGCUGAAUGCCGAGCCGAACAGAAGGGGGCUUACUCCUCUCAGCC